UGCGCAGGUGGCCUGUUAAGUCAGGGGUGAAAUAUGACGGCUCAACCGUCAAACUGCCCCUGAAACUGACAGGCUUGAGUCCGGGAGAGGUAGGUGGAAUUCCAGGUGUAGCGGUGAAAUGCGUAAAUAUCUGGAGGAACACCGGUGGCGAAGGCGGCCUACUGGCCCGGAACUGACGCUCAGGCACGAAAGCAUGGGGAGCGAACG
RNAcentral lists this ribosomal RNA (207 nucleotides) under uncultured bacterium. RNAcentral describes it as "partial 16S ribosomal RNA". It matches the Rfam family "Bacterial small subunit ribosomal RNA", at positions 568 to 774 of the family's 1533-position model. The record is from RNAcentral.